RNAcentral lists this long non-coding RNA (376 nucleotides) under Mytilus galloprovincialis (Mediterranean mussel). Lineage: Eukaryota; Metazoa; Mollusca; Bivalvia; Mytilida; Mytilidae. The record is from RNAcentral.
CUCAAAAUCGUUCAAUUUUUUUUUGUCGUGUUUUUUAAUUUCCGGAUCUGCGCAGAACACAUAACUCAACUUCCUUCUUCCGGUCUUGUUGUCGUGAGACUUUGAUUAGUCUAGUAAAAUAUAGGAACUCAAGGAACACAAUACAAAUAUUUCAUUUUUAAUCAUUCUUUGUCUUUGGUAUGAAUACGCCUACCUGAUGCAUUGCGUUUCUUUGUUUACAUUGAACAUGACGUCAUAACUUAAAUAACGUCACAAGUAAAAUCCCUAACAACAGAACCAAAAUCGGAAACGUUACGGUAUUUCCGUAUCUUUUUUUUUAACAAAUAUUUAAAAUACAAAAAAAUAAUUUAAACAAACUUCGUCCCCAUUCACAGGU